This 422-nucleotide long non-coding RNA is filed under the name Homo sapiens (human). RNAcentral's name for it is "HSALNT0296734". Lineage: Eukaryota; Metazoa; Chordata; Mammalia; Primates; Hominidae. The record is from RNAcentral.
CUGGAGGACAGGAAAGGAAGCAAAGAAUGAAGGGCAGAGCGGACCCUUCACACAUGGUGAGAAGGCAGGAUUUGUUCAUCACUUGCCAUGUGGAGGCACUGUCCUAGCUGCUCAGGAUGAAGGGCUUUGUGCUGACAGCUGAGAUCUGAAUCACGAGAAGGAUCCAGCCAUGGGACAACAUGUGGAUGAGUAUUUCGGGCCAAGGGGACAGCAGUGAUGAGGCAGUGACUGAGUUUCCACUGCAGCACUUCAGCAGGCCUGCCAAUUGCCAGUAUCAUCAAGGUUUCUUUGUGGAGCACCUACUUCCUGUGCAAGCCUCGGAAACCAGGGCCCGGUCCUCCCAACCAGCGGCUGCUUCCUCUGAACGCCUUCAAGUCUGCCCUGUGCUUUCAGAAUCUGUCUUCAUCCAGCACCAUUGAAAA